UCACUUGUGGGGGGAUUAGUGGCGAACGGGUGAGUAACACGUGAGUAACCUGCCCUUAACUCUGGGAUAAGCCUGGGAAACUGGGUCUAAUACUGGAUAUGACCUCCUGUCGCAUGGUGGGUGGUGGAAAGAUUUUUUGGUUUUGGAUGGACUCGCGGCCUAUCAGUUUGUUGGUGAGGUAAUGGCUCACCAAGGCGACGACGGGUAGCCGGCCUGAGAGGGUGACCGGCCACACUGGGACUGAGACACGGCCCAGACUCCUACGGGAGGCAGCAGUGGGGAAUAUUGCACAAUGGGCGAAAGCCUGAUGCAGCGACGCCGCGUGAGGGAUGAAUGCCUUCGGGUUGUAAACCUCUUUCAGCAGGGAAGAAGCGAAAGUGACGGUACCUGCAGAAGAAGCGCCGGCUAACUACGUGCCAGCAGCCGCGGUAAUACGUAGGGCGCAAGCGUUGUCCGGAAUUAUUGGGCGUAAAGAGCUCGUAGGCGGUUUGUCGCGUCUGCUGUGAAAGCCCGGGGCUCAACCCCGGGUCUGCAGUGGGUACGGGCAGACUAGAGUGAUGUAGGGGAGACUGGAAUUCCUGGUGUAGCGGUGAAAUGCGCAGAUAUCAGGAGGAACACCGAUGGCGAAGGCAGGUCUCUGGGCAUUAACUGACGCUGAGGAGCGAAAGCAUGGGGAGCGAACAGGAUUAGAUACCCUGGUAGUCCAUGCCGUAAACGUUGGGCACUAGGUGUGGGGGACAUUCCACGUUUUCCGCGCCGUAGCUAACGCAUUAAGUGCCCCGCCUGGGGAGUACGGCCGCAAGGCUAAAACUCAAAGGAAUUGACGGGGGCCCGCACAAGCGGCGGAGCAUGCGGAUUAAUUCGAUGCAACGCGAAGAACCUUACCAAGGCUUGACAUGGACUGGAAACACUCAGAGAUGGGUGCCCCGCUUGCGGCCGGUUCACAGGUGGUGCAUGGUUGUCGUCAGCUCGUGUCGUGAGAUGUUGGGUUAAGUCCCGCAACGAGCGCAACCCUCGUUCUAUGUUGCCAGCACGUGAUGGUGGGGACUCAUAGGAGACUGCCGGGGUCAACUCGGAGGAAGGUGGGGACGACGUCAAAUCAUCAUGCCCCUUAUGUCUUGGGCUUCACGCAUGCUACAAUGGCCGGUACAAAGGGUUGCGAUACUGUGAGGUGGAGCUAAUCCCAAAAAGCCGGUCUCAGUUCGGAUUGAGGUCUGCAACUCGACCUCAUGAAGUCGGAGUCGCUAGUAAUCGCAGAUCAGCAACGCUGCGGUGAAUACGUUCCCGGGCCUUGUACACACCGCCCGUCAAGUCACGAAAGUUGGUAACACCCGAAGCCGGUGGCCUAACCCC
RNAcentral lists this ribosomal RNA (1353 nucleotides) under Arthrobacter roseus. RNAcentral's name for it is "bacterial SSU rRNA". It matches the Rfam family "Bacterial small subunit ribosomal RNA", at positions 76 to 1442 of the family's 1533-position model. The record is from RNAcentral. Lineage: Bacteria; Bacillati; Actinomycetota; Actinomycetes; Micrococcales; Micrococcaceae.